GAGACCGUAGCUCAGUGGAUAGAGCGCAACGCUGCGGACGUUGAGGUCGGGAGUUCGAGUCUCCCCGGUCUCGCCU
This 76-nucleotide transfer RNA is filed under the name Anaerolineae bacterium. RNAcentral describes it as "tRNA-Arg". It matches the Rfam family "tRNA". From Rfam's summary of the family: Transfer RNA (tRNA) molecules are approximately 80 nucleotides in length. Their secondary structure includes four short double-helical elements and three loops (D, anti-codon, and T loops). Lineage: Bacteria; Bacillati; Chloroflexota; Anaerolineae. The record is from RNAcentral.